RNAcentral lists this ribosomal RNA (504 nucleotides) under uncultured bacterium. RNAcentral describes it as "partial 16S ribosomal RNA". It matches the Rfam family "Bacterial small subunit ribosomal RNA", at positions 29 to 507 of the family's 1533-position model. The record is from RNAcentral.
ACGAACGCUGGCGGCGUGCCUAAUACAUGCAAGUAGAACGCACAGUUUAUACCGUAGCUUGCUACACCAUAGCCUGUGAGUUGCGAACGGCUGAGUAACGCGUAGGUAACCUGCCUGGUAGCGGGGGAUAACUAUUGGAAACGAUAGCUAAUACCGCAUAAUAUUAAUUAUUGCAUGAUAAUUAAUUGAAAGGUGCAAUUGCACCACUACCAGAUGGACCUGCGUUGUAUUAGCUAGUAGGUGAGGUAACGGCUCACCUAGGCGACGAUACAUAGCCGACCUGAGAGGGUGAUCGGCCACACUGGGACUGAGACACGGCCCAGACUCCUACGGGAGGCAGCAGUAGGGAAUCUUCGGCAAUGGACGAAAGUCUGACCGAGCAACGCCGCGUGAGGGAAGAAGGUUUUCGGAUCGUAAAGCUCUGUUGUAAGAGAAGAACGGGUGUGAGAGUGGAAAGUUCACACUGUGACGGUAUCUUACCAGAAAGGGACGGCUAACUACGUG